This 73-nucleotide transfer RNA is filed under the name Candidatus Pacearchaeota archaeon. RNAcentral describes it as "tRNA-Glu". It matches the Rfam family "tRNA". From Rfam's summary of the family: Transfer RNA (tRNA) molecules are approximately 80 nucleotides in length. Their secondary structure includes four short double-helical elements and three loops (D, anti-codon, and T loops). The record is from RNAcentral. Lineage: Archaea; Nanobdellati.
GCCCCGGUAGUUCAGAGGCCAAGAAUUCCGCCUUCUCACGGCGGUGACCCGAGUUCGAAUCUCGGCCGGGGCG